This 67-nucleotide small RNA is filed under the name Bacillus solimangrovi. RNAcentral's name for it is "Bacillaceae-1 RNA". It matches the Rfam family "Bacillaceae-1 RNA". Lineage: Bacteria; Bacillati; Bacillota; Bacilli; Caryophanales; Bacillaceae. The record is from Rfam by way of RNAcentral.
UAUGAAGGAAGCCCCACUAAAACCUGCCACGUCCUGUGGCAGACGUGGGAUCAACACAUCUUGUGCA